CAGCACUGCGCGCCACCGCCUCGCCGUCACGCUACCGUCGUUUCUCGCUGCCUCCGGUCGUCGCCGUCUACCGCCGUUCGCCGGAGCCGUUCCCUCGCCCCACUCGUCGUUCUCCCUGCUCCUAGUAGCAGAGAUUAAAGAAGAUAAAGGAUAUUACAAGCCUCCCCCGGCUAUCAUGGUUGGUAAGCAAGAAUUCAGGUAUGGAAGAACAGUUGUGGAUCACUGAUAGACUGCAUUAUGGAGAUUAUGUAUGAUUCUAUGAGGUUUUAGGAUACUUUGUAUAAUGAGUAAACAAGUAUUAUCUUGCGAUGAGUAAUUGUAUAGUGAAUUUUUAAAUUUUAGGCUACUAUUUUAUUUGUGGGCCAUAACCCACAGGAUUAAGUUAUGCUUCCGCUGGCGAUUAAGGUCAUGUAAAUUUGUCGGGGCGUUACA
Long non-coding RNA from Beta vulgaris subsp. vulgaris (sugar beet), 432 nucleotides. RefSeq lists it as uncharacterized. NCBI's taxonomy places the organism in Eukaryota, Viridiplantae, Streptophyta, Magnoliopsida, Caryophyllales, Amaranthaceae. The record is from RefSeq and is a predicted model, not a curated record. The transcript has 3 exons.